Arachis ipaensis is the source of this 148-nucleotide non-coding RNA. Lineage: Eukaryota; Viridiplantae; Streptophyta; Magnoliopsida; Fabales; Fabaceae. The record is from RefSeq and is a predicted model, not a curated record.
GGGCUGUGUUCUUUUAGGAAAAUUGUCUUGAAAUAAUACUUGGGAAUCGGCUAAGAUGCAGGUCGAGAGGCUUCUCGUUAGGCGUCUGGACUCUUGAAGCAGAGUGGUUACAGGGUUAUUUUGUCAUGCUAUGAUGUAUAUAUAUAUA